AUAAUCAGUUGGCUUAUAAUUGAAGUCUGGCAUGAAAGGGAAUUCGGGGUGUUACUAUCUUAAAAUAAUAAACAUGAAAUUACUUAAUAAGUGAAAAUUCUUAUAAUAAUAAAAUAGACGAGAAGACCCUAGAAAUUUUUAUAAAAUUAACUUUUUUUUUGUUGGGGCGACAGGAUAACAAAGAACUUAUCUACAUAAUUAAGAAAUUUAUAUAUAGUGUAACUAAAUUACUCUAGGGAUAACAGCAUAAUAUUGAAAAGUUUGUGACCUCGAUGUUGGACUAGGAAAUGUAUUACCUAAAAGGUAAUAUAAUUGGCCCUGUUCGUGCUAUAAUAUCCUACAU
This 343-nucleotide ribosomal RNA is filed under the name Monacha sp. Cec2_2. Its description in RNAcentral is "partial 16S ribosomal RNA". Lineage: Eukaryota; Metazoa; Mollusca; Gastropoda; Stylommatophora; Hygromiidae. RNAcentral also lists the same sequence under 3 other names. The record is from RNAcentral.